Molecule: unclassified non-coding RNA, 200 nt
Filed under: Hevea brasiliensis (rubber tree)
Lineage: Eukaryota; Viridiplantae; Streptophyta; Magnoliopsida; Malpighiales; Euphorbiaceae
Source: RNAcentral
GCCCCAUUUUAUCAAAUCACCGUUUCAGCUCCGACGCCAAAGAAAAAAAAUAAAAUAAAAUAAAGACACAAUAGUCAUGCCAAAGAAAAAAAAACAAAUAAUAAUAAUAAUAACAAUAAUUUUCACCAAAUUAAGAAAGAAACCACGAGAAAAGAGCCCAAACCAUAUCGUCUACUCUUGGCAGCAUAUCAAAAAGACAA